RNAcentral lists this ribosomal RNA (492 nucleotides) under uncultured bacterium. Its description in RNAcentral is "partial 16S ribosomal RNA". It matches the Rfam family "Bacterial small subunit ribosomal RNA", at positions 29 to 507 of the family's 1533-position model. The record is from RNAcentral.
AGUGAACGCUGGCGGUAGGCCUAACACAUGCAAGUCGAACGGCAGCACAGUAAGAGCUUGCUCUUACGGGUGGCGAGUGGCGGACGGGUGAGGAAUACAUCGGAAUCUACUUUUUCGUGGGGGAUAACGUAGGGAAACUUACGCUAAUACCGCAUACGACCUACGGGUGAAAGCAGGGGAUCUUCGGACCUUGCGCGAUUGAAUGAGCCGAUGUCGGAUUAGCUAGUUGGCGGGGUAAAGGCCCACCAAGGCGACGAUCCGUAGCUGGUCUGAGAGGAUGAUCAGCCACACUGGAACUGAGACGCGGUCCAGACUCCUACGGGAGGCAGCAGUGGGGAAUAUUGGACAAUGGGCGCAAGCCUGAUCCAGCAAUACCGCGUGGGUGAAGAAGGCCUUCGGGUUGUAAAGCCCUUUUGUUGGGAAAGAAAAGCAGCAGGUUAAUACCCCGCUGUUCUGACGGUACCCAAAGAAUAAGCACCGGCUAACUUCGUG